UCUCAUCUGACCUCCUUCUUCACCUGAGGUUGCUGGCCUCUCUUCCCUGGUUCCCAGGCACUGCUCAUGUGAUUUGCUCUCCUGGGCCCUUCUCCACAUUGAUAGAAGGGAGCUGAGCCAUUGUGGUUGGAUGGUAACCACCAGAACAUAUUUACAGUCCUGCAGAACUUCUAGCACCAUGAAGAGUACAGGCUCUGCAGCCAGCUGCCUGGGUGCUGGCUCAGCUCCUGCUCCAGUUCUGCCCUGGGCAAGUCCAUUGCACUAGCUCUACCUGCCUUCCUCUGUCAAGACUGACUCCUAUGUGGAGAUAUGUUGGCAUGUGGUCUUAAUGAUCUACUAAGGAACAGGCUUAGAAUUCCUUGGUAUGUAAUAAGCAGUCAAAAUUAAAAAUUUUAACUUAUCUUAAUGUUCCUCAUUAGGAGCUCUAGAUCUUGGGAUAGUAAAAUUAAUGGAAGCUAGCUGGGUUCAAAUUCUGACUGAAUGACUCAUUGGGAGCACAAUUUGGAGCACACUAUUAAACUAAGAUCAGCCUAUUAGGCUAUAGGAUUUAUACUACCUAAUUCAUAAUAUACAGUUGUUACAGAAGUAAAUAAUAUAAAUGGAAUUAAGCACUUUGUAUAAUGCCCAGCAUGUAAUAAAUAGGAAUUACUAAACUUCAGUGCAGUGGUUUUUAGACUUCAU
RNAcentral lists this long non-coding RNA (681 nucleotides) under Marmota monax (woodchuck). The record is from RNAcentral. Lineage: Eukaryota; Metazoa; Chordata; Mammalia; Rodentia; Sciuridae.